Molecule: ribosomal RNA, 253 nt
Filed under: uncultured bacterium
Lineage: Bacteria
Description: partial 16S ribosomal RNA
Rfam family: Bacterial small subunit ribosomal RNA
Source: RNAcentral
UACAGAGGGGGCAAGCGUUGUUCGGAAUUACUGGGCGUAAAGGGCGCGUAGGCGGCCUUCUAAGUCGAACGUGAAAUCCCCGGGCUCAACCCGGGAACUGCGUCCGAGACUGGAAGGCUUGAAUCCGGGAGAGGGAUGUGGAAUUCCAGGUGUAGCGGUGAAAUGCGUAGAUAUCAGGAGGAACACCGGUGGCGAAGGCGGUUCUCUGGGCAUUACCUGACGCUGAGGAGCGAAAGUGUGGGGAGCAAACAGG